RNAcentral lists this ribosomal RNA (1343 nucleotides) under uncultured bacterium. Its description in RNAcentral is "16S ribosomal RNA". It matches the Rfam family "Bacterial small subunit ribosomal RNA", at positions 28 to 1378 of the family's 1533-position model. The record is from RNAcentral.
GACGAACGCUGUCGGCGUGCUUAACACAUGCUAGUCGAACGGAAAGGCCCUGCUUUUGUGGGGUGCUCGAGUGGCGAACGGGUGAGUAACACGUGAGUAACCUGCCCUUGACUUUGGGAUAACUUCAGGAAACUGGGGCUAAUACCGGAUAGGAGCUCCUGCUGCAUGGUGGGGGUUGGAAAGUUUCGGCGGUUGGGGAUGGACUCGCGGCUUAUCAGCUUGUUGGUGGGGUAGUGGCUUACCAAGGCUUUGACGGGUAGCCGGCCUGAGAGGGUGACCGGCCACAUUGGGACUGAGAUACGGCCCAGACUCCUACGGGAGGCAGCAGUGGGGAAUAUUGCACAAUGGGCGGAAGCCUGAUGCAGCAACGCCGCGUGCGGGAUGACGGCCUUCGGGUUGUAAACCGCUUUCGCCUGUGACGAAGCGUGAGUGACGGUAAUGGGUAAAGAAGCACCGGCUAACUACGUGCCAGCAGCCGCGGUGAUACGUAGGGUGCGAGCGUUGUCCGGAUUUAUUGGGCGUAAAGGGCUCGUAGGUGGUUGAUCGCGUCGGAAGUGUAAUCUUGGGGCUUAACCCUGAGCGUGCUUUCGAUACGGGUUGACUUGAGGAAGGUAGGGGAGAAUGGAAUUCCUGGUGGAGCGGUGGAAUGCGCAGAUAUCAGGAGGAACACCAGUGGCGAAGGCGGUUCUCUGGGCCUUUCCUGACGCUGAGGAGCGAAAGCGUGGGGAGCGAACAGGCUUAGAUACCCUGGUAGUCCACGCUGUAAACGGUGGGUACUAGGUGUGGGGUCCAUUCCACGGGUUCCGUGCCGUAGCUAACGCUUUAAGUACCCCGCCUGGGGAGUACGGCCGCAAGGCUAAAACUCAAAGGAAUUGACGGGGCCCCGCACAAGCGGCGGAGCAUGCGGAUUAAUUCGAUGCAACGCGUAGAACCUUACCUGGGUUUGACAUGGAUCGGGAGUGCUCAGAGAUGGGUGUGCCUCUUUUGGGGUCGGUUCACAGGUGGUGCAUGGCUGUCGUCAGCUCGUGUCGUGAGAUGUUGGGUUAAGUCCCGCAACGAGCGCAACCCUUGUUCACUGUUGCCAGCACGUUAUGGUGGGGACUCAGUGGAGACCGCCGGGGUCAACUCGGAGGAAGGUGGGGAUGACGUCAAGUCAUCAUGCCCCUUAUGUCCAGGGCUUCACGCAUGCUACAAUGGCUGGUACAGAGAGUGGCGAGCCUGUGAGGGUGAGCGAAUCUCGGAAAGCCGGUCUCAGUUCGGAUUGGGGUCUGCAACUCGACCUCAUGAAGUCGGAGUCGCUAGUAAUCGCAGAUCAGCAACGCUGCGGUGAAUACGUUCCCGGG